RNAcentral lists this ribosomal RNA (254 nucleotides) under uncultured bacterium. RNAcentral's name for it is "partial 16S ribosomal RNA". It matches the Rfam family "Bacterial small subunit ribosomal RNA", at positions 524 to 776 of the family's 1533-position model. The record is from RNAcentral.
GACGUAGGAGGCGAGCGUUAUCCGGAUUCACUGGGCGUAAAGCGCGCGUAGGCGGUUGUGUAAGUCCGUUGUUAAAGCCCCUGGCUCAACUGGGGGAGGUCAAUGGAGACUACACUGACUUGAGGGCAACAGAGGCACAUGGAACUCCCGGUGUAGCGGUGGAAUGCGUAGAGAUCGGGAAGAACACCCGUGGCGAAGGCGGUGUGCUGGGUUGCGACUGACGCUGAGGUGCGAAAGUGUGGGGAGCAAACGGG